Non-coding RNA from Rattus norvegicus (Norway rat), 67 nucleotides. Lineage: Eukaryota; Metazoa; Chordata; Mammalia; Rodentia; Muridae. The record is from Rfam.
GGAGUUAGCUCAGUGGUAGAGCGCUUGCCUAGCAAGCGCAAGGCCCUGGGUUCGGUCCCCAGCUCCA